AGUGAACGCUGGCGGUAGACCUAACACAUGCAAGUCGAACGGCAGCACAGUAAGAGCUUGCUCUUACGGGUGGCGAGUGGCGGACGGGUGAGGAAUACAUCGGAAUCUACUUUUUCGUGGGGGAUAACGUAGGGAAACUUACGCUAAUACCGCAUACGACCUACGGGUGAAAGCAGGGGAUCUUCGGACCUUGCGCGAUUGAAUGAGCCGAUGUCGGAUUAGCUAGUUGGCGGGGUAAAGGCCCACCAAGGCGACGAUCCGUAGCUGGUCUGAGAGGAUGAUCAGCCACACUGGAACUGAGACACGGUCCAGACUCCUACGGGAGGCAGCAGUGGGGAAUAUUGGACAAAGGGCGCAAGCCUGAUCCAGCCAUACCGCGUGGGUGAAGAAGGCCUUCAGGUUGUAAAGCCCUUUUGUUGGGAAAGAAAAGCAGCAGGUUAAUACCCCGCUGUUCUGACGGUACCCAAAGAAUAAGCACCGGCUAACUUCGUG
RNAcentral lists this ribosomal RNA (492 nucleotides) under uncultured bacterium. RNAcentral describes it as "partial 16S ribosomal RNA". It matches the Rfam family "Bacterial small subunit ribosomal RNA", at positions 29 to 507 of the family's 1533-position model. The record is from RNAcentral.